This 1352-nucleotide long non-coding RNA is filed under the name Androctonus crassicauda. Lineage: Eukaryota; Metazoa; Arthropoda; Arachnida; Scorpiones; Buthidae. The record is from RNAcentral.
CAAUGCUCAUUUGUUUUUAUGAUUCCAAAGGUAUUAUUCAUUAGGAAUUUGUUCCAGAGGAUCAAACAGUUACUAGUAAAUUUUAUUUAGGAUGUUUCGGGGCAUUUUUGGGGAAAAAUUGUAUAAUAAACAAGAUCUAAAUGUAAAGAACCUGUCUGUAAGUUUCUCUUAUAUGGCAAUGCACUGACAUAUAAGAGACCACUGCCAUCUGUUUUUGACCCAAGACUAUUGCCAUCAAGCAAUUUCUGGUUCAAAAACAAAUGUGCAUUCUUGACUUCCAACUUAUUCUCCAGCUUUUAGCACCAUGUGAAUAUUCUGUUUCUAAAACUAAAAAUAAUAAUGACAAAAGAGAUCCAAUAUGAUAAUAGUAAGCAAAGUUGCUAUGACAAAGAUACUUGACAAGAUUCUGAAAUAAGAGCUUUGGAGCUCCAAAAAUCAUUCUGCUCUUUAUUUGAUCAUUCCAAACACUAUCAACACAGAAGGAACAUAUUUUGAAUAAUAAUAAAUUUAUAUUAAUAUGGCCAUUGUUUCAUUUUUUUUACAGCAUCAGUCCAAUUAUUUAUCAAACAUACUGUAUACAUAAUUUGUUUAUGUUACUGUUAAUGUGGGUAUGUAUUAUAUAAAAUUAUAUAAAUAAUAUAUGAUUAUUUAAUGUCUGUAUUAGAUUCCUGAAAACUGUGAUAUUCACUGAAACUUCUUAUCAGUGUGUCGAGCCUCCAACUGCCAAGUAUGGCAUUGCACCAUAUCUUUGGCUUUGAUUUGACCUCCUUGUCAUCUCUGCCCCAUCCUUUUUUUAGCACUUAUUUUAAUAGAUAUAUCCACCUCGUUCUCUUUCAACCAUCGUGUUAAUUAUUUCAGGCCCCAGCAGCUAUGCUCCAUGAACAAACUAAUUCAUUUUUAUUAAAUAAUAGAACAAUUUAAACUUACAAAUGAUUAAUCAACUAGAAUUUCUGUCAAACAACCCAUCGAGAUAAUAUAAACAAAAUCCUUUCUUCAAAUCAACAAUUCUGCAAUUGUCCAUAAAGACUGUACACCAUGUUAUCCUCUUCGGGAGACAAACAGUCCAUGAAUUGCCACCAACACACUUUACCUGAAGACAACACUAAACUCAAAAGUUCACAAUCGCUGUCCAUAAGGAAGAUGACGACAACAUCAAGACAAAGACAACACCAAGUUAAACACCAGGGACAACGAAGAAACAUAACAGUCUCCAGCUUCACUCAGUGGCCAAAGUCUUAUACUACAUCUUAUUUGCAUGUCAAACUGUAUCCAUCAAAUAAAACUUACUCAAACAAUUUAUCUGCAGUGUUAUCUUACUAAAAUAAAACAACCAUUUUUUUCCUUCUUUUAAC